RNAcentral lists this ribosomal RNA (479 nucleotides) under uncultured bacterium. Its description in RNAcentral is "partial 16S ribosomal RNA". It matches the Rfam family "Bacterial small subunit ribosomal RNA", at positions 28 to 507 of the family's 1533-position model. The record is from RNAcentral.
GAUGAACGCUAGCGGGAGGCCUAACACAUGCAAGCCGAGCGGUAUUUGUUCUUCGGAACAGAGAGAGCGGCGCACGGGCGCGGAACACGUGUGCAACCUGCCUUUAUCUGGGGGAUAGCCUUUCGAAAGGAAGAUUAAUACCCCAUAAUAUAUUGAGUGGCAUCAUUUGAUAUUGAAAACUCCGGUGGAUAGAGAUGGGCACGCGCAAGAUUAGAUAGUUGGUGAGGUAACGGCUCACCAAGUCAAUGAUCUUUAGGGGGCCUGAGAGGGUGAUCCCCCACACUGGUACUGAGACACGGACCAGACUCCUACGGGAGGCAGCAGUGAGGAAUAUUGGACAAUGGGUUAGCGCCUGAUCCAGCCAUCCCGCGUGAAGGACGACGGCCCUAUGGGUUGUAAACUUCUUUUGUAUAGGGAUAAACCUACUCUCGUGAGAGUAGCUGAAGGUACUAUACGAAUAAGCACCGGCUAACUCCGUG